GGCGUGUUCCCCUCUGAGCCUGCGCGUUAAGAGUUGCAGUACCAAAAUGCGCAGACGCCAAGUUGGAGGCUACGACUUCAGUUUAGUAAGGAGAUAAAGGCUCCUUAGAAAGUGGGAUCCCAGGCCUUCUCCUACUCUUCAUUGGUUCUCCUGGGACAGAGUUGUCUAACUGACAAGUGAAGCCCACGUGAGGCCUAAGCUUGUUCUUGGGCUACUGUGUAGACUACCCAGGCAAGGGUUGAGGCAAGGAGGACGGGGUAGCAUCCACAUCCUGUAUCUCACAGCUGCUGAUAACUCCAGGGACACCAGACUGACUGCCUGGAAAUCAGUAUUCUGCUAGAAGCCUUCAGAUGAAG
RNAcentral lists this small RNA (356 nucleotides) under Rattus norvegicus (Norway rat). RNAcentral's name for it is "uncharacterized LOC102550011". The record is from RNAcentral. Lineage: Eukaryota; Metazoa; Chordata; Mammalia; Rodentia; Muridae.